UACGGAGGGUGCAAGCGUUGCUCGGAAUUAUUGGGCGUAAAGGGCAGGUAGGUGGUCUUAUUUGUCAGGGGUGAAAGCCUUGGGCUUAACCCAAGAAGUGCCCCUGAAACGGUAGGACUAGAGUACUGGAGAGGCGAGUGGAAUUCCGGGUGUAGCGGUGGAAUGCGUAGAGAUCCGGAAGAACACCGGUGGCGAAGGCGGUCUGCUGGGGUAAUGCUGACACUGAUGCGCGACAGCGUGGGGAGCAAACAGG
This 253-nucleotide ribosomal RNA is filed under the name uncultured bacterium. Its description in RNAcentral is "partial 16S ribosomal RNA". It matches the Rfam family "Bacterial small subunit ribosomal RNA", at positions 524 to 776 of the family's 1533-position model. The record is from RNAcentral.